This 98-nucleotide signal recognition particle RNA is filed under the name Microbulbifer spongiae. RNAcentral's name for it is "Microbulbifer sp. MI-G signal recognition particle sRNA small type". It matches the Rfam family "Bacterial small signal recognition particle RNA". Rfam says of the family: The signal recognition particle (SRP) is a universally conserved ribonucleoprotein involved in the co-translational targeting of proteins to membranes. Archaeal SRP consists of a 7S RNA and homologues of the eukaryotic SRP19 and SRP54 proteins. In most bacteria, the SRP consists of a 4.5S RNA and the Ffh protein (a homologue of the eukaryotic SRP54 protein). The record is from RNAcentral. RNAcentral also lists the same sequence under 1 other name. Lineage: Bacteria; Pseudomonadati; Pseudomonadota; Gammaproteobacteria; Cellvibrionales; Microbulbiferaceae.
UUCCGGUCCCUUCGCAAUGAGAAACUGCGAACCCCGCCAGGCCCGGAAGGGAGCAACGGUAGCAGUGACGUCAUGUGCCGAAGGUGUUGCUGGUCGGG